CUCGCCAGUAGUACACGGUGCUGCACUGGUCAUGAGGCUUCAGCCGCCAGACACAGAGGUCAGCUCUAGCCAGCUCGAGUGGGGGGAGUGGAGGUGCAGAGCCACGUGAUGACAGGUCAACAUGGAGAGGGAGGGGCUUCAGGAAAGGGUGACGCUGGACAGACAAAAAGUCACAGAGGCCCGCGAGGAAGAGACAGGGAAGGAGAGAAAGGGCCCGUUUCUGCGUCGAAUAUCCCUCUCCCAGCCUCCCCUGCAUCCUGCUUGACAGCCCCAGAGCCGCCACUGAUGCAGGCGCUUCUGAAUGUCUCAUCGCAACCCUAUUUCAACGUUGAUUUAUAGGCAA
Molecule: long non-coding RNA, 343 nt
Organism: Balaenoptera musculus (blue whale)
Lineage: Eukaryota; Metazoa; Chordata; Mammalia; Artiodactyla; Balaenopteridae
Exons: 3
Source: RefSeq, a predicted model, not a curated record